GAUCGUCAAUUUGGAAGCUCUAUC
RNAcentral lists this microRNA (24 nucleotides) under Ananas comosus (pineapple). RNAcentral describes it as "microRNA s0614_c84a". The record is from RNAcentral. Lineage: Eukaryota; Viridiplantae; Streptophyta; Magnoliopsida; Poales; Bromeliaceae.